CGCGGCCUAUCAGCUUGUUGGUGGGGUGAUGGCCUACCAAGGCUGCGACGGGUAGCCGGCCUGAGAGGGUGUUCGGUCACACUGGGACUGAGAUACGGCCCAGACUCCUACGGGAGGCAGCAGUGGGGAAUAUUGCACAAUGGGCGCAAGCCUGAUGCAGCGACGCCGCGUGGGGGAUGACGGCCUUCGGGUUGUAAACCUCCUUCAAUAGGGACGAAGCGCAAGUGACGGUACCUAUAGAAGAAGCACCGGCCAACUACGUGCCAGCAGCCGCGGUAAUACGUAGGGUGCGAGCGUUGUCCGGAAUUACUGGGCGUAAAGAGCUCGUAGGUGGUUUGUCGCGUUGUUCGUGAAAACCGGGGGCUUAACCCUCGGCGUGCGGGCGAUACGGGCAGACUGGAGUACUGCUGGGGAGACUGGAAUUCCUGGUGUAGCGGUGGAAUGCGCAGAUAUCAGGAGGAACACCGGUGGCGAAGGCGGGUCUCUGGGCAGUAACUGACGCUGAGGAGCGAAAGCGUGGGUAGCAAACAGGAUUAGAUACCCUGGUAGUCCACGCCGUAAACGUUGGGCACUAGGUGUGGGUCUCAACCAACGAGAUCCGCGCCGUCGCUAACGCAUUAAGUGCCCCGCCUGGGGAGUACGG
Molecule: ribosomal RNA, 643 nt
Filed under: uncultured bacterium
Lineage: Bacteria
Description: bacterial SSU rRNA
Rfam family: Bacterial small subunit ribosomal RNA
Source: RNAcentral